This 423-nucleotide ribosomal RNA is filed under the name uncultured prokaryote. RNAcentral describes it as "bacterial SSU rRNA". It matches the Rfam family "Bacterial small subunit ribosomal RNA", at positions 355 to 796 of the family's 1533-position model. The record is from RNAcentral.
UGGGGAAUCUUGGACAAUGGGGGCAACCCUGAUCCAGCGACGCCGCGUGGGUGGUAAGGCCUUCGGGUUGUAAAGCCCUUUCAGCGGGGAAGAUGAUGACAUUACCCGCAGAAGAAGCGCCGGCUAACUCCGUGCCAGCAGCCGCGGUAAGACGGAGGGCGCUAGCGUUGUUCGGAAUCACUGGGCGUAAAGGGCGCGUAGGCGGCUUGGUUAGUCAGAUGUGAAAGCCCAGAGCUCAACUCUGGAACUGCAUUUGAUACUCCCAAGCUUGAGGUCGAAAGAGGAGAGUGGAAUACCCAGUGUAGAGGUGAAAUUCGUAGAUAUUGGGUGGAACACCAGUGGCGAAAGCGGCUCUCUGGUUCGAUUCUGACGCUGAGGCGCGAAAGCGUGGGGAGCAAACAGGAUUAGAUACCCGCGUAGUCC